This is a long non-coding RNA of Branchiostoma belcheri (Belcher's lancelet), 512 nucleotides long. RefSeq lists it as uncharacterized. The record is from RefSeq and is a predicted model, not a curated record. NCBI's taxonomy places the organism in Eukaryota, Metazoa, Chordata, Leptocardii, Amphioxiformes, Branchiostomatidae. The transcript has 4 exons.
UCGUGACUCGGUGGUGUCGGUGAACCGUGUCUUAUGAACUCUCAGUGACACCUGCAGACGGGAUUUCCUGGUGUGGACAGGCGUGUGGCAGCUCCAGGUGUUGCUAUCUCACGAGAACGCCUCUCCUGUACUUGGUACGUCAGCUGCUCUUAAGAUGAACGUCAACUUGACCUUGCCUGUUGUUCUGUUUUCUCCUGUUCUGCCUGAACACCUUCCGUUCGACAAACAGCGCAAGUUCCGGAUGUAAACAUCAUCGCACCUUUGAACUGCGAGGCCAUAUAUGGAGCGUAACGGAUGUGACGUCAGACCACUGCGAGUGGGACAUCAGAACUUUUCCAAACAAGAUAAUCUUGAUUAAUUUCGACAUCUCCGGCUUCCGGCGAGGUUCGGACAACUGCACAGCCGACGUUCUGACGUUUCACGACGGAAACUCUCCUGGCAGCAGAACUAUCGACACGUUCUGUGGAGACCAGACACGUGAGUGUGUGUAUGCAUGUUUGUGUGUGUUGUGU